RNAcentral lists this long non-coding RNA (438 nucleotides) under Gossypium raimondii (Peruvian cotton). Its description in RNAcentral is "long non-coding RNA (GRAI_LNC003347)". The record is from RNAcentral. Lineage: Eukaryota; Viridiplantae; Streptophyta; Magnoliopsida; Malvales; Malvaceae.
GGAAUAAACGAAGAGAGUCUGACCGGGAAGCUUUAUCGUCGGAGGAAGUGUUUUGGUGGCUACGAUGACGGAGGAAGAGUGUCAAAACGGCCAGAGAGAAGAUGAUGGCGGCGGCAAGGAGAGCGGAAGAGAGGGAAACAAGGAGGAGGUGACGUCGGUGUGAAGAAGGGGAAGGGGAAUGAGGUAUGAGCAAAGACGAAAUAUUGGCGGGAAAAGUAGGGAGUGUGGAAGGUUGCGACGGAGGAGGUGGCGGAGAAGGGAAAGAAAGGAAGAAAGGACUAUGAGGAGUGGAAGGAGGAGUGGUGGAGAAAGGAUAUUUCGGUUGUUGUUUCAAGUGAGGUAGUGGCUCCGGAGACGGAAACGGCGAAGAUGAAGAAGGAGGAUAAACCGGCGGCUGUGAAGUAACCGGGAAAAAAGGCUGGUGGAGUAAACGGCGGU